UGGGGAAUAUUGGACAAUGGGGAACCGUAGCAUCCAGCAAUGCCGCGUGAGUGAUGAAGGCCUUAGGGUUGUAAAGCUCUUUUACCCGGGAUGAUAAUGACAGUACCGGGAGAAUAAGCCCCGGCUAGCUCCGUGCCAGCAGCCGCGGUAAUACGGAGGGGCGUAGCGUUGUUCGGAAUUACUGGGCGUAAAGCGCACGUAGGCGGCUUUGUAAGUUAGAGGUGAAAGCCCGGGCUCAACUCCGGAAUUGCCUUUAAGACUGCAUCGCUAGAAUUGUGGAGAGGUGAGUGGAAUUCCGAGUGUAGAGGUGAAAUUCGUAGAUAUUCGGAAGAACACCAGUGGCGAAGGCGACUCACUGGACACAUAUUGACGCUGAGGUGCGAAAGCGUGGGGAGCAAAACA
Molecule: ribosomal RNA, 402 nt
Filed under: uncultured Sphingomonadaceae bacterium
Lineage: Bacteria; Pseudomonadati; Pseudomonadota; Alphaproteobacteria; Sphingomonadales; Sphingomonadaceae
Description: bacterial SSU rRNA
Rfam family: Bacterial small subunit ribosomal RNA
Source: RNAcentral